GAUGCUGGGGGAGAGGCUCAAGUGAAGGUCCCUGCUCCUGCCUCAGGACGGGGUGGGCAGAGCUGAGCAGAGCAUGUGAUUGGAAUCAUUUGCUGGUGGCAGGGUUCAAAAGCAAAUGAUGACUAGGGACAGGAAGGAAGCAGACCUGGAGCUAGUCUACAGGGAAUAUUAAUCUGGAUUAAUUUUUAAAUUUGAAAUAUUCCAUUUUACUCCCAAAGUAAAUUAUGGUGUAUCAUAUUAACACCACUUAUAUCUUUAAUGAAAGCAUCCACAUUGGGAUGGAAUGCAGUUUAAGUAAUCUGCUUUUAAUACACACCAGGUACAAUUUGAAUUAAUUUUCCUCUGUGUUCUUGAGUACACGAAGUCCCCAAGGCACUGUGUCUUUCUGGCACUGUGCCUCUGGGGUGAUGCCUCUCAUGCAAAUUUCCUUGUGUGGAGUAUUGUCUAAUGCCAGAUAUCACCCAUAAGGUUUUUAUAUCUUCAUUAACUACUACACAGAUGCUGCAGUGCCCAUCUAACAUGGAUGCAUUUAGCAUCACUGACAGCCUCUGGCUAUGAUAAUCAUCAGAACAGAGAACAUUACACUGGGCAUGGUUAAAUCGCAUUUUAUUAACAUGAAUUGCUUGUACUCUAAGCUUGCUGUGUUCAUUCCAUUAAAAUUACCUUCUAGAAGAAACAGAAAAUUCUGCUAAUGCUUUAGGUAACUGCUGUUGCACUGCUGUGUGCAGCAACAACCUUGCUGAGGCCACUACUAAAACACAACACAGGAGUUGUCUCUGCUGCUGGCUUGACCCCAGACUGAUGUGUUGAAGAUGGUCCUCUUUUCUCCCUCAUCCCCUCCUGGGAAUAAUCCGUAGUACUUCCAUGCAGGCAGACAAGGUAUCCCAGUGCAGAGGUAUCCUAAGCCUCUGCUGCUUGAAGAAGGCAGCAGAGAUGCUCCAUGUGCCGGCCUGCAGAUACCAGCAUGGGUUGAAUGCUCUGGAGUCUGCUUGCCUCUCCAAAAAUGUCAGGUAAUCAGUAGGAAAAGGACUGGCCAGAGGCACAAAUUUGGUCCUUCAGUGACUUCUCUUUACCCUGAGUCAGAUUUCAUUAUCUCAAACAGUACAGAAAAAUCAGAACCAUCACAUUGCUUUUUAAGUUGGUUUUUUUUUUCCUUUAGUGAAUUAUAGCACACCUUUUCCAAACAUGUAUAUGUGUGUAUGUAUAUAUAUGUGUGAGUUUGUACUUAUAUAUAUACACAUAUAUAUAUAUUUAAGAGCCAACCACAGACUUUGAAAGCAUUUAGCAAUAAGUUGAAUUACAGUAGCUUCUAGCAUGUGUAAAUAAUGAGUGAAUAACUCAUUUUCACAGCAUCCCUGAGCUCAGUAUAAGUCUACACACAGGCCUUGUCUUUGCAUAGGAGCCUUCAUGUCUUACCCUUGUCGGUUCUGUUGUAUGGGCAAAAAAGGGAACCUGCUAUAUUUGGAUGCAAAAAAUGGGAACUGAACAGAGAAUUUUCAGAAUUUUUAUAAAUGUUUUUAAAAAAUUCAGCACCAGAACUGUAAAUAUGUCAACACAGCUGGACCCAUUCUGAUGUACAGCCCUUGUUUGGAUGAACAGCCAAGGGUGCUGCCUGACAGCGCCUCGUGUUCUCUCCCAGCCAGUGGGUGACAACAUUUUUGUGAAUGUUUAUAUACUGUCACGUACCCAACUUUCUUUGGGUCAUUCACAUCAGGGUUUUGUGAUGCUGCUAUUAAUUUAUUAAAGAGAGUUUGUUGGUUUAAUCAUUCUUAAUUUUUUUUUUUCUCCAUGGUCUAUCAGAAAAUAAAUAAACAAAUGUGCCCUCUCUUUCUUUCCUCUGUCCCCAAUUAAAAUAUGUCCUCACCAAAAAAACAAGCAAGCAACAAAAAACAAGGAUAAGGAUGUAUACCUGAAGUAUGGCCCACAGAUGCUGAAUCUCAGAAAUCACUGUCAGCAGAUAUCCCAACAUUUCCAACCCCAAAACUUGAUAAAUACAAAAGUGGUGAUAGACUAUUCCCCCUCUUCAAAUGGCUCCCUCCGGGAAUAACCCUUGAAAAUUACAUUUUUUAAAUUAUGUCAAUUUGAAGAAUUAAUUUAGUUCUCUGAAACUUAACCAAAGUCAGGUUGUCCCCACAGCAGUUUUGCUUCUCCUGAGAUGUAGCCAUUAACCUUGGGGUGCCUCCAGAAACCCUGCCUGGGGCUGUCUGACGUGAGUACUUGCUGGAAGUUUUGUGUGUCCUCAAAUCUGAGCUCAGGUAUGGUUCUGUCUUACAAAUAGUGUGGGUGGUGGUGUUUUGUUUUGAGUUUGGACUGAGCAAGUGACAACAAUUCCUUGGAAAUGGUGCCGUGGGCUGUGUUGUUUGCUUUGUUUCCCAAACCAGAUGGAGCUGUGCAGGCAGGCUGCCCGUGGGACAGCACACACACAGAGGCUCCCACCCAGCAAACACACCCCCUUGUUUCACUGGCAUCGGGCAGUCUGCUCUUGGGGGCAUCCCAGGACAGAACCAGCAGCUUCCUGGGCUGUAGGGGCUUCCCCACUAGAGGUCAGAAUCAAGGCUGGCCAUGUAGUCAGGCACAAAGCCUUGUGGGCAACCUGGUUUCUAGGCUUGAGCUGGCUCAUCCAUGUCUGUGACCUGUUGCCCCACACAGCCAAUCUGGGGUGUAGCACCCAUGGGGUGGCUUUGGGGAGCUCUGCAUGCCUCAGAGACUGUGCUUUGAGAAGAAGGCCUCUCCUUCAGUCCUGUGCUUGCUGAAGAUAAGAGCAGCUACCCAGAGGCUGUAGCAUCUGGGAGGGAACAUGAUUCAGAGCCAAUGCUGAGGAGCCUCGAGGCAUCCCACCUCAGCAUGGCUCUCUAUUGUCAUAAUGACUAUGAGUCUGCAGUAGUUUUUAUCUGAGUGAUAAUUUGAAGAGGUAAAUGUUAGAUGAUGUGUGAGUAGUCAGUGUGAACAGUGUGGUUCAUGCUGUUUUCUCUACAGAGACACUCAUGUUAAUCAUUAGUGCCUUUCUUCUGGAGAGCCCUGCAGAGAUUUUCCUCACUGUUGUGAACUGUGCCCAAUGCUCUUCCCUUCCCAGUCAGCAUCUAAUGUGCUGGAGUCAUGAGGGUCCUGGAUAUGGAGACCCAAAUUCCAAAGGGGAAACAUACUUUAAAGAAAAAAUAGCAAACCCAUGGAGCUCUGCAGAAAUGUUGUUUAACUUUGAGCUGCUGAAGAGUGUCUGAUACUGUGGCAGACAAGUUAUGCUAAUCUGGUGUUCCAAAAGCAGUGCCUGUCAUGUGAUAAAUGAGCAGAUGUCUCUUGGAUGGGUUUCCUCCCUGUGUCACAGUAUCAUUAGGAUAGCUGCAUGCCAAGAACUGCACUUGGCUUUGUCUCCAUUUCAGACUGGGGUGGAAAAGGCAUUAGAAGCUUUUUCCUGGGAAAAAUCAGGCAAAGACUGCCAAGCCUUGGGCAGGUGCAGCAGAAGGACAGAGAUGGGCAGAUGAGAUACAUGUACACAUCUGUGCACAUGAACACACAUCCCAGAAACCCCAGAGAGCCACAGGAGAUGUCAUCACACUCUAGUCUUCCCUUGAAAAGAUGGGAGGGGCUGAAAAGCUGGGGAGAAAACCUGUGAUGGGGAGAUCAAAUGUACCUGUAAGUGUCACUGUGAAACGUGGGCUGUUCUAGUGUGGGUGAGUGUAGGUAUCAAAAAAUGGUUUUGUUUUUUCAUUUUUAACCAUGAAGUUGUUAUUGACUCUUCUGUCUCUCCAUCAUUUUUUCUUUAAGUCUCAGGUCUUCUGCAUGUUUUCUUUUACCCACAACUGAAUCCUGUGCUAUGAGGCUGUCAGAAGUCAGCAAAAUAUCUAAGUGAUGUGUUAUUCCCUCUCGGCUGUGCAGGGAGGUUGCAAUCCCAAAACAUCAUGGAGAUGGAGCGUCUUCAGAAGGACCAGUGGAUGCCAGUGACAGAUGCUCAUCAAAGACACUGAACUUUUAAUCAGGGUCCUUUUCCCUGACUGGCAGCUAGAACAGCUCUUCUAUGACAUUUUGGGGAGGAAGACUUCAGUGCCCCUCCUUUUGGGCCUGCACUUCCUGAAGAUCAUGACACUGCUGAAAGCAACAGGUAAGUGCAAAUGCCCAGCAGAGAUCUCAGCUGUGCUGGAGGUUCCUUCCCUACAGGCACAUGUCCCAAAAUGUCUUCAGAUAGGAUCCAUGGAUUGCAGUGUCUCACCCAGGAAGCCAUGGCAAGGUUUGGUCCCCUCACCUAAGUGCUCCUCUCCCUUCUUUUUGCAGCUCAGCCACAUGGCUGGCACACAGGUGGGCUGGCCCCCAAGUGACCAUUUUUUCUCUUGCACCUUCUCUAGGUGUUGCUGAAGAGAAAACUGCCUGCAUCCUCCCCCAGUGUGUCCCGUGGUGGCAGUCAGCAAGGUGCUGGGAUGAGUUCCUCCCCCUGUGCCCCACUGCGGGUGACGCAGCACACUGUGCUCGGCAAACGGUGGUUUUUCUUACCCAGAACUUUACUCCUGGAGGGUAAAUUAAUGUGAUUACCUGUUGCUCUGUAGUUAGUUGGCAUUUCUGCUUUAAAAAAAUAGGUGGGAGUGUGUGCUGGGCCUGAGCAGUAGCCCUGGUGACAGGCACAGUGCGGGGACAGAAGUCAAGGCAGGGGCAGAGAGAGCCCUGUUAAUGAGAAGGAGCAGAAAGCCUGGCUUGUUCCUUCCAGCAGCUAAAGAGGGGCAAAGCAAGCUCUGCAUCAGGAUAACAGGGAGUGCUUGUUCUGGAUAAGCAGGGACAAGUUAUUUAGGCCAGAGGAAAACAUUGGUAUACAGAAAGGGUAGAAAUAAGGUAGGAAUUAAAAGUAGGUUUCUAACAAGCGGGGUAUUCCAGGUUUGGGACUGCACUUCCUGCUGAGGCAGCAGUAACAGCAACUGAAAAGCUUAUUGAGGGCUCAGGUGUUGCAUUCACACAGGAAUUUAUGCUCUAGAGGUACAGCAGGAGGGCCCAGCUCAGCCCUUUUUUGUCCUCAGCCUCCCGUUUGGCAGAGCUCAGGCACCAAGCCAGGCAUCUGCACAGCAGGACCUGCCCAGUGACACAUCCCAGUGUGGGAGGAAAAAAAACAUCUGGAAGCAAGAACACUAUUUUUAGGUUAUGGUCCUUCCAUAAGUCCUGGCAAGAGCCUUGAAAAAUGACAACACAAUUUUGGAGGAAGGCAGGCAAGGCCGUGUCAAGUCAGUGCAUCUCCCACAAACAGGACAACGUGAAGCCGAGGGAUCGUGAAGGCUGUGUGUUCCCAGCCCCCAGUUGUAUGAAGCAAUAUUUCACUUGCAUUCGUGGAAGCAUCCAGAAUCAACCAGCUUGGCCAGCCCAAGCCUGACUGCAUGCAGUCCUGUAAGUAUGUUUUAUUUACCUGCAACAGCAUUUUCAUGUGCUCUGGAGAGCCACAGUGUUGAGGUAAUGCCCUUGCUGGGGCUGCCAUUAUCUGAUGUUGUUGAGAAAACACUGGUGAGCAGCUUUCAGGACUGAGCCUGCUUUGUGCUUGCACUGUCUUAUGUUUUUAAUGCUUUUCUUUGUUGCUGUAGCUGGGAACUUCAUGCUCUUGCUUCAGUAAAAUAAAUUGUGCUGUUGGCCUUUUAA
Long non-coding RNA from Pipra filicauda (Wire-tailed manakin), 5604 nucleotides. RefSeq lists it as uncharacterized. The record is from RefSeq and is a predicted model, not a curated record. Lineage: Eukaryota; Metazoa; Chordata; Aves; Passeriformes; Pipridae. The transcript is spliced from 2 exons.